Molecule: non-coding RNA, 79 nt
Filed under: Paenalcaligenes hominis
Lineage: Bacteria; Pseudomonadati; Pseudomonadota; Betaproteobacteria; Burkholderiales; Alcaligenaceae
Source: RNAcentral
AUUAUUGUUGGCGCCGAUUUGCUUGAUCCGCUUGCGGGCGCUCCAUAAAUCCAGCUAAAGAGGUCCAUAAAUGGUCUCA